Molecule: ribosomal RNA, 440 nt
Filed under: uncultured bacterium
Lineage: Bacteria
Description: partial 16S ribosomal RNA
Rfam family: Bacterial small subunit ribosomal RNA
Source: RNAcentral
CCUACGGGUGGCAGCAGUGGGGAAUAUUGCACAAUGGGGGAAACCCUGAUGCAGCGACGCCGCGUGAGUGAUGAAGUAUUUCGGUAUGUAAAGCUCUAUCAGCAGGGAAGAAAAUGACGGUACCUGACUAAGAAGCCCCGGCUAACUACGUGCCAGCAGCCGCGGUAAUACGUAGGGGGCAAGCGUUAUCCGGAUUUACUGGGUGUAAAGGGAGCGUAGACGGCUUGGCAAGCCAGAUGUGAAAGGCCGGGGCUCAACCCCAGGACUGCAUUUGAAACUGUCAUGCUAGAGUGUCGGAGAGGCAGGCGGAAUUCCUAGUGUAGCAGUGAAAUGCGUAGAUAUUAGGAGGAACACCAGUGGCGAAGGCGGCCUGCUGGACGAUGACUGACGUUGAGGCUCGAAAGCGUGGGGAGCAAACAGGAUUAGAUACCCUUGUAGUC